RNAcentral lists this transfer RNA (73 nucleotides) under Paramuricea clavata. It matches the Rfam family "tRNA". From Rfam's summary of the family: Transfer RNA (tRNA) molecules are approximately 80 nucleotides in length. Lineage: Eukaryota; Metazoa; Cnidaria; Anthozoa; Malacalcyonacea; Plexauridae. The record is from Rfam by way of RNAcentral.
GACCGCGUAGCUCAGUUGGAAGAGCAUUGGGCUAGUAUUCCAAAGGUCGUAGGUUCGAAUCUCGCCGUGGCCA